GAUGAACGCUGGCGGCGUGCCUAAUACAUGCAAGUCGAGCGAACGGACGAGAAGCUUGCUUCUCUGAUGUUAGCGGCGGACGGGUGAGUAACACGUGGAUAACCUACCUAUAAGACUGGGAUAACUUCGGGAAACCGUAGCUAAUACCGGAUAAUAUUUUGAACCGCAUGGUUCAAAAGUGAAAGACGGUCUUGCUGUCACUUAUAGAUGGAUCCGCGCUGCAUUAGCUAGUUGGUAAGGUAACGGCUUACCAAGGCAACGAUGCAUAGCCGACCUGAGAGGGUGAUCGGCCACACUGGAACUGAGACACGGUCCAGACGCCUACGGGAGGCAGCAGUAGGGAAUCUUCCGAAAUGGGCGAAAGCCUGACGGAGCAACGCCGCGUGAGUGAUGAAGGUCUUCGGAUCGUAAAACUCUGUUAUUAGGGAAGAACAUAUGUGUAAGUAACUGUGCACAUCUUGACGGUACCUAAUCAGAAAGCCACGGCUAACUACGUG
This 497-nucleotide ribosomal RNA is filed under the name uncultured bacterium. RNAcentral's name for it is "partial 16S ribosomal RNA". It matches the Rfam family "Bacterial small subunit ribosomal RNA", at positions 28 to 507 of the family's 1533-position model. The record is from RNAcentral.